This 655-nucleotide ribosomal RNA is filed under the name uncultured Campylobacterales bacterium. Its description in RNAcentral is "bacterial SSU rRNA". It matches the Rfam family "Bacterial small subunit ribosomal RNA", at positions 59 to 732 of the family's 1533-position model. The record is from RNAcentral. Lineage: Bacteria; Pseudomonadati; Campylobacterota; Epsilonproteobacteria; Campylobacterales.
AAGUCGAACGAUGAAUCCUAGCUUGCUAGGAUGGAUUAGUGGCGCACGGGUGAGUAAUAUAUAGUUAAUCUGCCCUACACAGAGGAACAACAGUUGGAAACGGCUGCUAAUACCUCAUACUCCUAUUUGACAUAAGUUAAAUAGGGAAAGUCUUUUCGGUGUAGGAUGAGACUAUAUCGUAUCAGCUAGUUGGUAAGGUAAUGGCUUACCAAGGCUAUGACGCGUAACUGGUCUGAGAGGAUGAUCAGUCACAUUGGAACUGAGACACGGUCCAGACUCCUACGGGAGGCAGCAGUAAGGAAUAUUGCGCAAUGGGGGAAACCCUGACGCAGCAACACCGCGUGGAGGAUGACACUUUUCGGAGCGUAAACUCCUUUUAUCAGGAAAGAAUAAUGACGGUACCUGGUGAAUAAGCACCGGCUAACUCCGUGCCAGCAGCCGCGGUAAUACGGGGGGUGCAAGCGUUACUCGGAAUCACUGGGCGUAAAGGACGCGUAGGCGGAUUAUCAAGUCUUUUGUGAAAUCUAGUGGCUUAACCACUAAACUGCUUAGGAAACUGAUAGUCUAGAGUAGGGGAGAGGUAGAUGGAAUUCUUGGUGUAGGGGUAAACCCGUAGAGAUCAAGAAGAAUACCCAUUGCGAAAGCGAUCUGCUGG